RNAcentral lists this transfer RNA (77 nucleotides) under Klebsiella pneumoniae RYC492. Its description in RNAcentral is "tRNA-Asn". It matches the Rfam family "tRNA". Rfam says of the family: Transfer RNA (tRNA) molecules are approximately 80 nucleotides in length. Their secondary structure includes four short double-helical elements and three loops (D, anti-codon, and T loops). Lineage: Bacteria; Pseudomonadati; Pseudomonadota; Gammaproteobacteria; Enterobacterales; Enterobacteriaceae. The record is from RNAcentral.
UCCUCUGUAGUUCAGUCGGUAGAACGGCGGACUGUUAAUCCGUAUGUCACUGGUUCGAGUCCAGUCAGAGGAUGCCA